AGACUUGAAAAAGUAAUAAUUCCUAUCUAUAAUAUAAUCUGUCAGGCAACUGACUAUGACACUAGAGGCGGUAUGAAAUAGGCUUUUUGGACCUGGGGGCAGUACCCAGCACCUCCACCAAUUUUUUACACGCAACUCCACUCCGAACGGCACCCCGACAGUCCAUAGAGCGGCUUUUACGGGGAAAGUUUGUUAUAUGUGGAGAUUUUUAGGAGUUAUUUUAAUUUUCGACAGGAGUGUACAAAAGCGUACAUGACUUAGAAAAUUAAAAUAAGGACAACAAAAUCGCCCAUAGAACAAAUCUUUACGGGGGUGAAACAGGGUAGACAGGAAGUAAUAAAGAUACUUUUUGCCGUGUCCGGUGAGAUACCACCGUUAUCGGUUCAAAAUAAAUGAAUGCAAACGAUAACUUUGCACCUGUUGCUGUAGCUGCUUAAUAGCAAGGCAACGAACAUAAAUCCUUGUAGCUUUGGUUAGUUAUAAGUGGGGUCUGAGCCACCUAGCAACAGAACGGCUCGUUU
Molecule: transfer-messenger RNA, 521 nt
Filed under: Alphaproteobacteria bacterium
Lineage: Bacteria; Pseudomonadati; Pseudomonadota; Alphaproteobacteria
Rfam family: Alphaproteobacteria transfer-messenger RNA
About the family: Bacterial tmRNA, also known as 10Sa RNA or SsrA, is named for its dual tRNA and mRNA-like properties. Its role is to liberate the mRNA from a stalled ribosome. To accomplish this part of the tmRNA is used as a reading frame that ends in a translation stop signal.
Source: RNAcentral